UACGAAGGGGGCUAGCGUUGCUCGGAAUCACUGGGCGUAAAGGGUGCGUAGGCGGGUUUUUAAGUCAGGGGUGAAAUCCUGGAGCUCAACUCCAGAACUGCCUUUGAUACUGAAGAUCUUGAGUUCGGGAGAGGUGAGUGGAACUGCGAGUGUAGAGGUGAAAUUCGUAGAUAUUCGCAAGAACACCAGUGGCGAAGGCGGCUCACUGGCCCGAUACUGACGCUGAGGCACGAAAGCGUGGGGAUCAAACAGG
RNAcentral lists this ribosomal RNA (253 nucleotides) under uncultured bacterium. RNAcentral describes it as "partial 16S ribosomal RNA". It matches the Rfam family "Bacterial small subunit ribosomal RNA", at positions 524 to 776 of the family's 1533-position model. The record is from RNAcentral.